AUGUCGUCCAUGGUCUCUCCCCUCCACGGAGUAGUGGACGCCCGCCGGUGGAACGCCGAGCGCCUCCUGGGUCGUCUAGUGAUCGUGGUUCACGCCGCCUUCCUUGACGCGGGCUUCAUCGUGCCUCGCCGCCACCGCCGGGAUUGGGAUCUGUCUUCUACCUGCCGGCUUCCGACAGAGGCGGGCGCGACGGCCUCGACCCUCACCCUGGAGUACACCGUGCCGCAGCUGCUGCCCCGGCACGACAUGGACGGCGCCGCGCUGAGGGUGUGCACCAACGGGCGGCACGUCAUCUUCUACCUGCAGAUCUCCUCUGUCCGGAUCAGCCCGCACUUGGUGUGCCUGGACGCAUACUCCGUCGCGCCGCUCCUGUCGGGCCAUCUGAACGGCACAGCGCGCAGGCUGCUGCGGAACCACGCCUCCCCGACGGCCGCGCUCUGGAGGACGGUCAGCGACGGGUUCAGCCGGCGCAUCUUCUCGGAUCUAUGCCUUGUGCACGGCGUGGUGCCGGGACGAGCCCCCACCUUCAUGUCCCUCCCGAGCGACAUGAUGGCGGCGAUCCUGGAGAGGCUCGCCGACGGGAAGGACCUGUUGAGGGUGAAGAGCACCUGCACCGAGCUGAGGAGCUUGGUGGCCGAGCCCGACCGGGACCGCCAGCUCUGGAUGCCCAGGUACAAGGCGCUACGGUUGAACUGGCUGUGGUGGUGGUGCUGGUCGCUCGGCGGCGACAGCGAUUCCCACGACGACCUGCCGGAGACGAGCUGGAAGCAGAUGUUUGUGAGGGCCACGCGACGGUGGGAAGAUAGGCUUCUCGAUCGUCCUACUCCUGUCCUCGUCAUACGGCGGUUUUCUAUCCUCGAUGAGUUGAAAUGGUUUUUUCGAUCCGCAAGAUACUCAUUUGAGGAGCUGCCGGUGGAUGCCGCCGCCUGCUUUGGAGAGAUGAUGACUGAGACGGAGGGCGACGGGGGCAAGAGUACCACCGGUCGCCGCCAUGGCCAUGGUAAGGCGCCGGCCAUAGGCGGCCACGAGAAGCAGAGGCAGCAGGGUCGUCGCACCCGCACCGGCGCUAUCCACUCCCCGUCUUCUAGGUACCGAUGGAAGCACAGGUGA
RNAcentral lists this ribosomal RNA (1110 nucleotides) under Triticum aestivum (bread wheat). RNAcentral describes it as "partial small subunit ribosomal RNA". Lineage: Eukaryota; Viridiplantae; Streptophyta; Magnoliopsida; Poales; Poaceae. The record is from RNAcentral.